UGUCUUUUGCCAUGUCUCUCUUAGAUACAAACUGAUCGAAGAUGCAACGUCUGUGUUUCACAUGUUGAUAGGAACCUGAUACCAUGUUUCUGUUGGUUUACAGAGCUGGUUAUUACGAUUACACUA
RNAcentral lists this small nucleolar RNA (126 nucleotides) under Triticum aestivum (bread wheat). RNAcentral's name for it is "Small nucleolar RNA snoR2/U65". It matches the Rfam family "Small nucleolar RNA snoR2/U65". Lineage: Eukaryota; Viridiplantae; Streptophyta; Magnoliopsida; Poales; Poaceae. The record is from Rfam by way of RNAcentral. RNAcentral also lists the same sequence under 1 other name.